This 689-nucleotide ribosomal RNA is filed under the name uncultured bacterium. Its description in RNAcentral is "bacterial SSU rRNA". It matches the Rfam family "Bacterial small subunit ribosomal RNA", at positions 143 to 848 of the family's 1533-position model. The record is from RNAcentral.
ACAACAGUUGGAAACGACUGCUAAUACCGCAUAAGCCCACGACCCGGCAUCGGGAAGAGGGAAAAGGAGCAAUCCGCUUUGAGAUGGCCUCGCGUCCGAUUAGCUAGUUGGUGAGGUAACGGCCCACCAAGGCGACGAUCGGUAGCCGGACUGAGAGGUUGAACGGCCACAUUGGGACUGAGACACGGCCCAGACUCCUACGGGAGGCAGCAGUGGGGAAUAUUGCACAAUGGGGGAAACCCUGAUGCAGCGACGCCGCGUGGAGGAAGAAGGUCUUCGGAUUGUAAACUCCUGUUGUUGAGGAAGAUAAUGACGGUACUCAACAAGGAAGUGACGGCUAACUACGUGCCAGCAGCCGCGGUAAAACGUAGGUCACAAGCGUUGUCCGGAAUUACUGGGUGUAAAGGGAGCGCAGGCGGGCGAUCAAGUUGGAAGUGAAAUCCAUGGGCUCAACCCAUGAACUGCUUUCAAAACUGGUCGUCUUGAGUAGUGCAGAGGUAGGCGGAAUUCCCGGUGUAGCGGUGGAAUGCGUAGAUAUCGGGAGGAACACCAGUGGCGAAGGCGGCCUACUGGGCACCAACUGACGCUGAGGCUCGAAAGUGUGGGUAGCAAACAGGAUUAGAUACCCUGGUAGUCCACACCGUAAACGAUGAUUACUAGGUGUUGGGAGAUUGACCCUCUCAGUGCCG